CAGUCGCCACGGUAAUGCGAAGGGGGCUAGCGUUGCUCGGAAUUACUGGGCGUAAAGGGCGCGUAGGCGGCCAUUCAAGUUAGAUGUGAAAGCCCUGGGCUCAACCUAUGAAUUGCAUUUGAUACUGUUUGGCUUGAGUUCGGGAGAGGUGAGUGGAAUUCCCAGUGUAGAGGUGAAAUUCGUAGAUAUUGGGAAGAACACCAGUGGCGAAGGCGGCUCACUGGACCGACACUGACGCUGAGGCGCGAAAGCGUGGGGAGCAAACAGGAUUAGAUACCCCGGUAGUCCCUGUCUCUUAUAC
Molecule: ribosomal RNA, 301 nt
Filed under: uncultured bacterium
Lineage: Bacteria
Description: partial 16S ribosomal RNA
Rfam family: Bacterial small subunit ribosomal RNA
Source: RNAcentral